ACUUGCCUUUGCGAGGGGGAUAACAGUUGGAAACGACUGCUAAUACCGCAUAAUGUCUACGGACCAAACAGGGCUUCGGCUCUGGCGCAAAGAGAGGCCCAAGUGAGAUUAGCUAGUUGGUGAGGUAAAGGCUCACCAAGGCAACGAUCUCUAGCUGUUCUGAGAGGAAGAUCAGCCACACUGGGACUGAGACACGGCCCAGACUCCUACGGGAGGCAGCAGUGGGGAAUAUUGCACAAUGGGGGAAACCCUGAUGCAGCCAUGCCGCGUGUGUGAAGAAGGCCUUCGGGUUGUAAAGCACUUUCAGUCGUGAGGAAAGGUGCUAGUUUAAUAAACUAGUACUGUGACGUUAGCGACAGAAGAAGGACCGGCUAACUCCGUGCCAGCAGCCGCGGUAAUACGGAGGGUCCGAGCGUUAAUCGGAAUUACUGGGCGUAAAGCGUGCGUAGGCGGUUUAUUAAGCGAGAUGUGAAAUCCCGGGGCUCAACCUCGGAACUGCAUUUCGAACUGGUAAACUAGAGUAUUGUAGAGGGUGGUGGAAUUUCCAGUGUAGCGGUGAAAUGCGUAGAGAUUGGAAGGAACAUCAGUGGCGAAGGCGGCCACCUGGACAAAUACUGACGCUGAGGUACGAAAGCGUGGGGGGCAAACAG
This 650-nucleotide ribosomal RNA is filed under the name uncultured bacterium. RNAcentral describes it as "bacterial SSU rRNA". It matches the Rfam family "Bacterial small subunit ribosomal RNA", at positions 124 to 775 of the family's 1533-position model. The record is from RNAcentral.